AGAAUCAACGCUGGCGGCGUGCCUCAGACAUGCAAGUCGAACGCGAAAGUCCCCUUCGGGGGACAAGUAGAGUGGCGCACGGGUGAGUAACACGUAGGUAAUCUACCUUUGGAUGGGGAAUAACAACCGGAAACGGUUGCUAAUACCGCAUGAUGCAGCGGCACCUAAUGGUGACAGUUGUUAAAGCGGGGGAUCGAAAGACCUCGCGUCUGAAGAGGAGCCUGCGGCGGAUUAGCUAGUUGGUAAGGUAACGGCUUAACCAAGGCUACGAUCC
Molecule: ribosomal RNA, 274 nt
Filed under: uncultured soil bacterium
Lineage: Bacteria
Description: partial 16S ribosomal RNA
Rfam family: Bacterial small subunit ribosomal RNA
Source: RNAcentral